Molecule: ribosomal RNA, 497 nt
Filed under: uncultured bacterium
Lineage: Bacteria
Description: partial 16S ribosomal RNA
Rfam family: Bacterial small subunit ribosomal RNA
Source: RNAcentral
GAUGAACGCUGGCGGCGUGCCUAAUACAUGCAAGUCGAGCGAACGGACGAGAAGCUUGCUUCUCUGAUGUUAGCGGCGGACGGGUGAGUAACACGUGGAUAACCUACCUAUAAGACUGGGAUAACUUCGGGAAACCGUAGCUAAUACCGGAUAAUAUUUUGAACCGCAUGGUUCAAAAGUGAAAGACGGUCUUGCUGUCACUUAUAGAUGGAUCCGCGCUGCAUUAGCUAGUUGGUAAGGUAACGGCUUACCAAGGCAACGAUGCAUAGCCGACCUGAGAGGGUGAUCGGCCACACUGGAACUGAGACACGUUCCAGACUCCUACGGGAGGCAGCAGUAGGGAAUCUUCCGCAAUGGGCGAAAGCCUGACGGAGCAACGCCGCGUGAGUGAUGAAGGUCUUCGGAUCGUAAAACUCUGUUAUUAGGGAAGAACAGAUGUGUAAGUAACUGUGCACAUCUUGACGGUACCUAAUCAGAAAGCCACGGCUAACUACGUG